GGCUUAGAGUUUGAUCAUGGCUCAGGAUAAACGCUGGCGGCGCACAUAAGACAUGCAAGUCGAACGGACUUAAUCGAUUCUUUUAGAUUCGAAGCGGUUAGUGGCGGACUGGUGAGUAACACGUAAGCAACCUGCCUAUUAGAGGGGAAUAACAGUGAGAAAUCACUGCUAAAACCGCAUAUGCCGUGAACAUCGCAUGAUGAGAACGGGAAAAGAACAAUCUGCUAAUAGAUGGGCUUGCGUCUGAUUAGCUAGUUGGUGUGGUAAAGGCAUACCAAGGCAACGAUCAGUAGCCGGACUGAGAGGUUGAACGGCCACAUUGGGACUGAGAUACGGCCCAGACUCCUACGGGAGGCAGCAGUCGGGAAUAUUGCGCAAUGGAGGAAACUCUGACGCAGUGACGCCGCGUAUGGGAAGAAGGUUUUCGGAUUGUAAACCAUUUUAGACAAGGAAGAAACAAGACAGUACUUGUAGAAUAAGCUCCGGCUAACUACGUGCCAGCAGCCGCGGUAAUACGUAGGGAGCAAGCGUUAUCCGGAUUUAUUGGGUGUAAGGGUGCGUAGACGGGAAGGUAAGUUAGUUGUGAAAUCCCUCGGCUCAACUGAGGAACUGCGACUAAAACUGCUUUUCUUGAGUGCUGGAGAGGAAAGUG
This 652-nucleotide ribosomal RNA is filed under the name uncultured bacterium. Its description in RNAcentral is "bacterial SSU rRNA". It matches the Rfam family "Bacterial small subunit ribosomal RNA", at positions 1 to 663 of the family's 1533-position model. The record is from RNAcentral.